GAAAUGCGAAAAGUAAUGUGAAUUGCAGAAUUCAGUGAAUCAUCGAAUCUUUGAACGCACAUUGCGCCCCCUGGCAUUCCGGGGGGCAUGCCUGUUCGAGCGUCAUUUCAACCCUCAAGCUCUGCUUGGUAUUGGGCGUCGCGGGGCGAGUCCCGGCGUGCCUCAAAAAAAUCGGCGGUGGUGCCCUUCUCUAAGCGUGGUAAGUCUUAUUCGCUUCUGAGUUGGGGCCUCACCCGCCGGGCAAAACGGGCUCCGGCCCAACUUCUCAGGUUGACCUCGGAUCAGGUAGGGAUACCCGCUGAACUUAA
Molecule: unclassified non-coding RNA, 308 nt
Filed under: uncultured Ascomycota
Lineage: Eukaryota; Fungi; Ascomycota
Description: sequence contains ITS1
Rfam family: 5.8S ribosomal RNA (bases 1-105)
Source: RNAcentral